GCGUAGUAUUACUCCUCGCUUGGGAGCCCGGGCGUGCGUCUUGCCAAAACCCCAUACUUCUUUUAGGUUGACCUCGGAUCAGGUAGGGAUACCCGCUGAACUUAAGCAUAUCAAUAAGCGGAGGAAAAGAAACCAACAGGGAUUGCCUCAGUAACGGCGAGUGAAGCGGCAACAGCUCAAAUUUGAAAUCUGGCCCCCUCGGGGCCCGAGUUGUAAUUUGUAGAGGAUGUUUCGGGUGUGGCUCCGGUCUAAGUUCCUUGGAACAGGACGUCAUAGAGGGUGAGAAUCCCGUAUGUGACUGGCAGCCUACGCCCAUGUGAAACUCCUUCGACGAGUCGAGUUGUUUGGGAAUGCAGCUCAAAAUGGGUGGUAAAUUUCAUCUAAAGCUAAAUAUUGGCCAGAGACCGAUAGCGCACAAGUAGAGUGAUCGAAAGAUGAAAAGCACUUUGGAAAGAGAGUUAAACAGUACGUGAAAUUGUUGAAAGGGAAGCGCUUGCAACCAGACUUGCGUGCGGCCGAUCAUCCGGUGUUCUCACCGGUGCACUCGGUCGUGCUCAGGCCAGCAUCGGUUUCGGCGGCUGGAUAAAGGCCAUGGGAAUGUAGCUUCUCUCGGGGAGUGUUAUAGCCCGUGGUGCAAUGCAGCCCGCUGGGACCGAGGACCGCGCU
This 666-nucleotide ribosomal RNA is filed under the name Leotiomycetes sp. genotype 140. Its description in RNAcentral is "eukaryotic LSU rRNA". The stretch from base 69 to 666 matches the Rfam family "Eukaryotic large subunit ribosomal RNA", at positions 1 to 601 of the family's 3401-position model. Lineage: Eukaryota; Fungi; Ascomycota; Leotiomycetes. The record is from RNAcentral.